GUGACGGUACCUACAAAAGAAGCACCGGCUAACUAUGUGCCAGCAGCCGCGGUAAUACAUAGGGUGCAAGCGUUGUCCGGAAUUAUUGGGCGUAAAGAGCUCGUAGGUCGUUUGUUACGUCGGAUGUGAAAACCUGAGGCUCAACCUCAGGCCUGCAUUCGAUACGGGCAAACUAGAGUUUGGUAGGGGAGACUGGAAUUCCUGGUGUAGCGGUGGAAUGCGCAGAUAUCAGGAGGAACACCAAUGGCGAAGGCAGGUCUCUGGGCCAAUACUGACACUGAGGAGCGAAAGUCUGGGGAGCGAACAGGAUUAGAUACCCUGGUAGUCCAGACCGUAAACGGUGGGCACUAGUUGUGGGAACCUUCCACGGUUUCUGCGACGCAGCUAACGCAUUAAGUGCCCCGCCUGGGGAGUACGAUCGCAAGAUUAAAACUCAAAGGAAUUGACGGGGCCCCGCACAAGCAGCGGAGCAUGCGGCUCAAUUCGACGCAACGCGAAGAACCUUACCAAGGCUUGACAUAUAGGGAAAAGUGACAGAGAUGUCAUGUCCGCAAGGGCUCUAUACAGGUGGUGCAUGGUUGUCGUCAGCUCGUGUCGUGAGAUGUUGGGUUAAGUCCCGCAACGAGCGCAACCCUCGUUCUGUGUUGCCAGCAUUUAGUUGGGGACUCACAGGAGACUGCCGGGGUUAACUCGGAGGAAGGUGGGGAUGACGUCAAAUCAUCAUGCCCCUUAUGUCUUGGGCUGCACGCAUGCUACAAUGGCC
This 763-nucleotide ribosomal RNA is filed under the name marine metagenome. RNAcentral describes it as "bacterial SSU rRNA". It matches the Rfam family "Bacterial small subunit ribosomal RNA", at positions 469 to 1235 of the family's 1533-position model. The record is from RNAcentral.